GUGUGGCCCAGACAGGGCACUGUCUGUGGCCCCAGGGGUUGAGGACCCCUGGCUUUAACAACAGAAAGGUACCAUCUUACAGUUCUGGAGGCCAAAGUCUGAUAUCCAGGGAGGGAAUUGGGAUCUGAAGACGUUGCAUUCGAGGUCUCGGGGCUCCUGAUGAGCAGCCUCGGCCUGACCUGGGGCAGGUGUGAUGUCUGCGGCUCACCAUCUCCACCCUGCCUGCUGUGGAAUCUCCACAACGACAGGUGCUUUGGAGGCCAGAGUGCAUGCGUACGGGCCCUGCACACGCUGAAUGUCACUGGGAACAAGGACACACCCCGCUUCCAGGAGAAGAUAGAACAUGUCGACCCCUUUUACCAUAUGACACAUUAUCAGACCAAACCAGAGCUCUUGGUUUUCGGAUCUGGGGAUGAAUUCUUUAGCACAGAUGGAACCAUGAACUUCUAUGAUCAACUGCCAGGAAGGAAAUACCUCAGAGCCAUCCCCAGUGCAGGACAUGCUAUUGACUUCCAUGAGACAAACACCUACUUGGAAAUCAGGUUUUUUCUGUACCUUUUGAAGGAGCAGGAAUUUCCCAGCAUUUCCUGGACAAAGACGGAGGCCACAUUCGCUGCAUCCUUUCCAGCAAGAUGUCAUUCUGAGAUUUUUGUCAUUCCUGGGCGUUAUGAGGACUGCCAAGGGACACAAUUCCAUGGGAGGAAAGUUUUCUUCUAAGCUGCAAGCCAGCUCUGGCUUCUGGAGUUUCUCCUUAGGAUUGCAAGACAGUAGUUCCCUGUCCUUUAGGUCUUCUCCAGAAAUACCUUAAAAUAGCAAAUAAAAUAAGAUAUAAGCAAACAAA
RNAcentral lists this long non-coding RNA (841 nucleotides) under Homo sapiens (human). Its description in RNAcentral is "S-phase cancer associated transcript 1". Lineage: Eukaryota; Metazoa; Chordata; Mammalia; Primates; Hominidae. The record is from RNAcentral.